Molecule: ribosomal RNA, 242 nt
Filed under: uncultured bacterium
Lineage: Bacteria
Description: partial 16S ribosomal RNA
Rfam family: Bacterial small subunit ribosomal RNA
Source: RNAcentral
AAGCGAGGCUGUGAAGCGGAGCAAAUCUCAAAAACCGGUCCCAGUUCGGAUUGUAGGCUGCAACUCGCCUACAUGAAGUCGGAGUUGCUAGUAAUCGCGGAUCAGAAUGCCGCGGUGAAUGCGUUCCCGGGUCUUGUACACACCGCCCGUCACACCAUGGAAGUUGGGGCGCCCGAAGUUGCCUAAGAAAUAAGGUACCUAAGGCGAAACCAAUGACUGGGGUGAAGUCGUAACAAGGUAUC